This 841-nucleotide ribosomal RNA is filed under the name uncultured Chloroflexota bacterium. Its description in RNAcentral is "bacterial SSU rRNA". It matches the Rfam family "Bacterial small subunit ribosomal RNA", at positions 528 to 1385 of the family's 1533-position model. Lineage: Bacteria; Bacillati; Chloroflexota. The record is from RNAcentral.
UAGGGGACAAGCGUUAUCCGGAUUCCUGGGCGUAAAGAGCGUUGAGGCGGUUCCGUAAGUUGGGCGUGAAAGCUCCGGGCUUAACUCGGAGAUGUCGUUCAAUACUGCGGGGCUUGAGGACAGCAGAGGAAGGUGGAAUUCCCGGUGUAGUGGUGAAAUGCGUAGAUAUCGGGAGGAACACCCGUGGCGAAGGCGGCCUUCUGGGCUGUUCCUGACGCUGAAGGCGAAAGCUAGGGGAGCGAACGGGAUUAGAUACCCCGGUAGUCCUAGCUGUAAACGAUGGAUGCUGGGUGUGGGGGGUGUAAAUUCCCUCUGUGCCGAAGCAAACGCGUUAAGCAUCCCGCCUGGGGACUACGGCCGCAAGGCUAAAACUCAAACGAAUUGACGGGGGCCCGCACAAGCAGCGGAGCGUGUGGUUUAAUUCGAUGCUACACGAAGAACCUUACCUGGGUUUGACAUGCACGUGGUAGGGAACCGAAAGGGGACCGACCUUCGGGAGCGUGCACAGGUGCUGCAUGGCUGUCGUCAGCUCGUGCCGUGAGGUGUCGGGUUAAGUCCCGUAACGAGCGCAACCCUUGCCCUUAGUUACAAGUGUCUAAGGGGACUGCCCGGGACAACUGGGAGGAAGGUGGGGAUGACGUCAAGUCAGCAUGGCCUUUAUAUCCAGGGCUACACACACGCUACAAUGGCCGGUACAAUAGGUUGCGAAGUCGUGAGGCGGAGCCAAUCCUCAAAGCCGGUCUCAGUUCGAAUUGCAGUCUGCAACUCGACUGCAUGAAGCUGGAGUUGCUAGUAAUCGCAGGUCAGCUAUACUGCGGUGAAUACGUUCCCGGGCCUUGUA